AUUGAACGCUGGCGGCAGGCCUAACACAUGCAAGUCGAACGGUAACAGGAAGAAGCUUGCUUCUUUGCUGACGAGUGGCGGACGGGUGAGUAAUGUCUGGGAAACUGCCUGAUGGAGGGGGAUAACUACUGGAAACGGUAGCUAAUACCGCAUAACGUCGCAAGACCAAAGAGGGGGACCUUCGGGCCUCUUGCCAUCGGAUGUGCCCAGAUGGGAUUAGCUAGUAGGUGGGGUAACGGCUCACCUAGGCGACGAUCCCUAGCUGGUCUGAGAGGAUGACCAGCCACACUGGAACUGAGACACGGUCCAGACUCCUACGGGAGGCAGCAGUGGGGAAUAUUGCACAAUGGGCGCAAGCCUGAUGCAGCCAUGCCGCGUGUAUGAUGAAGGCCUUCGGGUUGUAAAGUACUUUCAGCGGGGAGGAAGGGAGUAAAGUUAAUACCUGUACUCAUUGACGUUACCGGCAGAAGAAGCACCGGCUAACUCCGUG
This 490-nucleotide ribosomal RNA is filed under the name uncultured bacterium. Its description in RNAcentral is "partial 16S ribosomal RNA". It matches the Rfam family "Bacterial small subunit ribosomal RNA", at positions 30 to 507 of the family's 1533-position model. The record is from RNAcentral.